UGAGUCUAUCCCUCCAACUUUUCCAGAGGUAAAAGGAAUUACCAUCUGUCACCUAUAAUCAUUUCUCGCAAUACAAUAUAAUUUCCAAAGGCUCCAGAAACAAAACAUAAAUUCAUCUAUUUCGGCCAAUUACAUAAAUUUCUCUACUGCGUACUCAAUACAAUAAUCAAAU
Juglans microcarpa x Juglans regia is the source of this 172-nucleotide long non-coding RNA. RefSeq lists it as uncharacterized. NCBI's taxonomy places the organism in Eukaryota, Viridiplantae, Streptophyta, Magnoliopsida, Fagales, Juglandaceae. The transcript has 3 exons. The record is from RefSeq and is a predicted model, not a curated record.